GCUUAACCGGAGAAGUGCAUCGGAAACUGGGAGACUUGAGUGCAGAAGAGGACAGUGGAACUCCAUGUGUAGCGGUGGAAUGCGUAGAUAUAUGGAAGAACACCAGUGGCGAAGGCGGCUGUCUAGUCUGUAACUGACGCUGAGGCUCGAAAGCAUGGGUAGCGAACAGGAUUAGAUACCCUGGUAGUCCAUGCCGUAAACGAUGAGUGCUAAGUGUUGGAGGGUUUCCGCCCUUCAGUGCUGCAGCUAACGCAUUAAGCACUCCGCCUGGGGAGUACGACCGCAAGGUUGAAACUCAAAGGAAUUGACGGGGGCCCGCACAAGCGGUGGAGCAUGUGGUUUAAUUCGAAGCUACGCGAAGAACCUUACCAGGUCUUGACAUCUUCUGCCAAUCUUAGAGAUAAGACGUUCCCUUCGGGGACAGAAUGACAGGUGGUGCAUGGUUGUCGUCAGCUCGUGUCGUGAGAUGUUGGGUUAAGUCCCGCAACGAGCGCAACCCUUAUUAUCAGUUGCCAGCAUUCAGUUGGGCACUCUGGUGAGACUGCCGGUGACAAACCGGAGGAAGGUGGGGAUGACGUCAAAUCAUCAUGCCCCUUAUGACCUGGGCUUCACACGUGCUACAAUGGACGGUACAACG
This 637-nucleotide ribosomal RNA is filed under the name uncultured bacterium. Its description in RNAcentral is "bacterial SSU rRNA". It matches the Rfam family "Bacterial small subunit ribosomal RNA", at positions 607 to 1244 of the family's 1533-position model. The record is from RNAcentral.